CUCAAAAAUGGCAAACCCAGCGAAAGCUGGGGCUGCGAAGCUGAUGAUCUAAGGUGUCUUAUGGCACUAUGAUGGUCUGGCUGCUAAAA
This 89-nucleotide non-coding RNA is filed under the name unclassified sequences. Its description in RNAcentral is "c-di-GMP sequence". It matches the Rfam family "c-di-GMP-I riboswitch aptamer". From Rfam's summary of the family: GEMM was predicted in a large-scale screen for bacterial structured RNA regulatory elements. Genes associated with GEMM are involved in a diverse array of functions, including chemotaxis regulation, signal transduction, secretion and chitin. The record is from Rfam by way of RNAcentral.